UCGCGGGGAGGGGGCGGGGGGUUCCCCACCGGAUGGCCAUUGGAUAUCGAGGCGGGACUGGCACCGACGUCUGACGCGGCGCCCGGAGGGGAGCUUGAGGAAGCGCCAGCCGAGAGCGAUUGCCUACUUUGAGGGAGCUAGUUACCAUGUUGUGAGAACACUCAAGAAGCCUUGUGAAGAUUUACACAGGGGUUACCACAAUCCUUCAAUUUGCAAAAAGGCAGUUAUCUGUGAAGAUGAAUUAAUGAAGUACAGUAA
Long non-coding RNA from Talpa occidentalis (Iberian mole), 258 nucleotides. RefSeq lists it as uncharacterized. NCBI's taxonomy places the organism in Eukaryota, Metazoa, Chordata, Mammalia, Eulipotyphla, Talpidae. The record is from RefSeq and is a predicted model, not a curated record. The transcript has 3 exons.